Non-coding RNA from Podarcis lilfordi (Lilford's wall lizard), 66 nucleotides. The record is from the annotation of a GenBank genome assembly. Lineage: Eukaryota; Metazoa; Chordata; Lepidosauria; Squamata; Lacertidae.
GCACAGGAUGGCUCAGCUGAUAGAGCAUGAGACUCAGGGUCGUGGGUUCAAGCCCCACUUUAGGCA